RNAcentral lists this ribosomal RNA (233 nucleotides) under uncultured bacterium. RNAcentral describes it as "partial 16S ribosomal RNA". It matches the Rfam family "Bacterial small subunit ribosomal RNA", at positions 334 to 566 of the family's 1533-position model. The record is from RNAcentral.
ACCGCCUACGGGGGGCAGCAGGGGGGAAUAUUGCACAAUGGGCGCAAGCCUGAUGCAGCGACGCCGCGUGCGGGAUGGAGGCCUUCGGGUUGUAAACCGCUUUUGUUCAAGGGCAAGGCACGGUCUUUGGCCGUGUUGAGUGGAUUGUUCGAAUAAGCACCGGCUAACUACGUGCCAGCAGCCGCGGUAAUACGUAGGGUACAAGCGUUAUCCGGAUUCAUUGGGCGUAAAGG